This 253-nucleotide ribosomal RNA is filed under the name uncultured bacterium. RNAcentral's name for it is "partial 16S ribosomal RNA". It matches the Rfam family "Bacterial small subunit ribosomal RNA", at positions 524 to 776 of the family's 1533-position model. The record is from RNAcentral.
UACGUAGGGAGCGAGCGUUGUCCGGAUUUACUGGGCGUAAAGGGCGUGUAGGCGGGGCGUCGCAUCCUGGAGUAAAUACCACCGCUCAACGGUGGUGUCAUCUGGGAGAUGGACGUUCUUGAGGGCAGUAGAGGAAAGCGGAAUUCCCGGUGUAGCGGUGAAAUGCGUAGAUAUCGGGAGGAACAUCGGUGGCGAAGGCGGCUUUCUGGGCUGUUCCUGACGCUGAGGCGCGAAAGCCAGGGUAGCGAACGGG